UUUAAUAACACUUAGGUCGUGACCCUAAAAACUAGAGCCACUCUUCCGAACU
This 52-nucleotide transfer RNA is filed under the name Agama insularis. RNAcentral describes it as "tRNA-His". The record is from RNAcentral. Lineage: Eukaryota; Metazoa; Chordata; Lepidosauria; Squamata; Agamidae.